UCUCCCACCCACAUAGCUAGCGGCUCUCAUGGAGGUGGAUUUAUGAUGCUGACAGUAGAGCUCUCUCCCAUGGAAAUAGAGUGG
Long non-coding RNA from Gopherus evgoodei (Goodes thornscrub tortoise), 84 nucleotides. RefSeq lists it as uncharacterized. The record is from RefSeq and is a predicted model, not a curated record. NCBI's taxonomy places the organism in Eukaryota, Metazoa, Chordata, Testudines, Testudinidae. The transcript has 3 exons.